This is a long non-coding RNA of Dermacentor albipictus, 715 nucleotides long. RefSeq lists it as uncharacterized. The record is from RefSeq and is a predicted model, not a curated record. NCBI's taxonomy places the organism in Eukaryota, Metazoa, Arthropoda, Arachnida, Ixodida, Ixodidae.
CAUUCGUUCGUACACUCAAGACUGGUUGCUUCUUUGUUUCUAAAACUAGUUUCUUGCGCUUCUAUGUAACUUGGGGUGAAGUUACGUGUUUGCAAGCGGACAUGUAAGCCCGGCAGUUGGGUUUCGGUCGUGAGCCAUUCGGAACAGGUCUGCAUCGAAACGGGAGCUGGAUUUUGCUGCGGCUGACAACGGCAAUAACGACAUGCAGUAAUGAGGACGGCACCAGUAUAAAGCAACACACUCCACGCACUAAACAGAAGCUGCUGCCUGCUACGACAAGGUCAUUGUGUAGACAUUGGCUACUACUACAAGAGUCUAUGCCAAGCACAUCUUGGUCAUCACAGGAGCUCCUAUCUGCACCAACAGGAAGGGGCUGGAGCCGAAUUUGCAAGGGUUUUACACCAAGAACAAAGAAGCACAUGCACAAGAAUAUGGAUGAGAUAUCAAGUCUGCAAAGGACUGUGUUAAGACUGCAAAGAGCUUCAGCCACCAUUCCACCAGCACGGACAUUUGGCUGAGUCAUCCAAGUAACUCAAAAAGGACUUUCUAGAAAUUCUUCGUCUUCAGAUGCACCUGCAACAUCUGACCAAGCACGGACGACGCUGACCAAAAGAUUGAGUUUCAUCAGUUCGUCCUUAAUCAGCUUCCAAGCCAUGUUAAUUCCGUUUGUGCGAAGUGUAAUUUUUCUUCUAUAAAUGCAAGCUUUCUCAUUGCC